Long non-coding RNA from Vulpes vulpes (red fox), 1745 nucleotides. The record is from Ensembl. NCBI's taxonomy places the organism in Eukaryota, Metazoa, Chordata, Mammalia, Carnivora, Canidae.
AUGAUUCAGGAGACAGAAGAUGAAUUCAUGCUCUUCAUUCACAUACUCAACAAACAAAUAUCAUUGAACACAUCCUGUGUGCAAAGCACUAUUUGGGACAGGGUGCCACAGCAGCAAACAAAGUGGACUGAAAAAUCAGCAUUCAACAAGACUAAAAAUGGAAGAUUUAAGAGCAAAGCAUUAAGACCUGUGCCAGAAUUGUAAUUUCUUUAAAAGAGAAAAUGAAUUAGCUGUCACAUCCCAGAUGGAUGAACAUAAGGCAAGCUAAUCUCUAGCCAGUGAGCAAAUAUUGAGGGAAGGCCCUCUCCCACCCUGUCCUGUGCAUCAGGAGAACCUCUAUCCAGCUCCACACUCAGCAGGGCCUCACCUGCCCUCUACCUUUCCCCUCUUCAGUGCUCCAUCAGUUCUAAAGGAACUAUAAAAAGGCAUAUAGGGUAUGGUCAUUUAUUAGCUAGCACAAAUUUCUAGUUCUUUCUAAGAAAGUUAAAACGUGUACAUAAUUUUAAAUAUUAUGCAUUGUGGAUUUUGUAACUGUCAACCACAAUGUAAGUUUUAUUAGUACUGAAUUAGAAUAGUAAUCAGAAUCAUAACUGUAGCCAUAAUUGUAAUAUAGAGCUUCUUACUGUAAUUUCUAUUAUUUAACCUCUUGGCUUCAUACUAACUUCAUGUUCUGUUCAUAGUGAACCUACUUUGUGUCAGAUGUGGGGAAAGAGAGAGAAGUGAGAGUGUGGGCUAUAUUCUCAUAGAACUCAUAUUCUAAAGGAGGAGACAGAAAACAUAAGUAAGUGCAUAAAGAAAGAUCUGGUGAUAUAAGCUAUAAAGACAACAAAACUGGGUGAUGCCAUUCAGCAUAGAGAACAAUUGGGUUGAAGGGAAAGGGCUCCUACUUUAGUAUGGAUCAUUUCAAUUUCCCUGGGAUGCAGAAAUGAGGUGAUUUCUAGAUGAUAAUGAGGAGGCUAAUCUGGCUAAGAUGGGGCCAAGCAGAAGGAAGAUCAUGAAGAAAUCCUAGAGAUGCGUUAUGCUUAGGGCAUCCUCUGGGUAGACAGGUGGCCACUAAGUGCAGAGAGCACAGGAGAUCCCCAGUAUGAGAUGAAAUCAGAGAGAUGUGAAGGUCACAGCAAGAUUAUACAGAGCUUUUAGAUCUGAAAUUAAAAAUGCGUUGAAUCUUCUUGCUGAUGGAUUCUAUGUUCACAUAUGACAUGACCUAACUUUUCUCCCUGAAUGCAUGUGCAGAAUGGAUUGCAAAGGGAGCCAAGCAUGGAAGGUGAGGUCAAUUCAGAGGCUAGGUGCUGAAUAUUGGAAACCUGUACUGAGUUCAGGGCAGUAGUGAAAACAGAUGAGAGCCAGUAAGACUUGAGGACCAAUUGGAUGUAGAAGCUGAGGUGCCUCAUGUCUUCAGAGAUCUUUGUGUAAUAACUAUUAUACAAAUAGAUGUUGAUGUGUUCAACCUUCUAUGUACAUACUUUCUGUUAUUCUCUACCUAACCCUAGAAAAAAAGGUAAAAUUAAUUGCUUUUGCAAUUCAUAAAACAAAGGAAAAAUAUGAACAUUCUAAUUAUAUGAAAAUCUUGUCAAGUUAUGGUUAGAAAUUGUGUUUUGGUGUCUGGGCAUCACCUCAGGGAAGACAAGGAGAUAGGAUUAGUAAAACAGUAGGGUAUUUAAGUAAAGGAAACAAAGAUCUUCCAUUUUCAAGAUAUAAAGGAGUAGGGUAAUAAAGUUGAAAAAUAAAAGAAUUAUUUGUUCCUA